AUAGUUACCUGGUUGAUUCUGCCAGUAGUCAUAUGCUUGUCUCAAAGAUUAAGCCAUGCAUGUCUAAGUAUAAGCAACUUUGUACUGUGAAACUGCGAAUGGCUCAUUAAAUCAGUUAUAGUUUAUUUGAUGGUUUUUGCUACAUGGAUAACUGUGGUAAUUCUAGAGCUAAUACAUGCAUUCAAGCCCCGACUUCUGGAAGGGGUGUAUUUAUUAGAUAAAAAUCAACUUUGUUGGUGAAUCAUAAUAACUUCUCGGACCGCAUGGCCUCGUGCUGGCGGUGCUUCAUUCAAAUAUCUGCCCUAUCAACUGUCGAUGGUAGGAUAGAGGCCUACCAUGGUUGCAACGGGUAACGGGGAAUAAGGGUUCGAUUCCGGAGAGGGAGCCUGAGAAACGGCUACCACAUCCAAGGAAGGC
Molecule: ribosomal RNA, 417 nt
Filed under: Chloroflexota bacterium
Lineage: Bacteria; Bacillati; Chloroflexota
Description: SSU rRNA
Rfam family: Eukaryotic small subunit ribosomal RNA
Source: RNAcentral